RNAcentral lists this ribosomal RNA (200 nucleotides) under uncultured eukaryote. RNAcentral describes it as "partial 18S ribosomal RNA". It matches the Rfam family "Eukaryotic small subunit ribosomal RNA", at positions 586 to 789 of the family's 1831-position model. The record is from RNAcentral.
UAGCUCCAGUAGCGUAUAUUAAAGUUGUUGCAGUUAAAAAGCUCGUAGUUGGAUUUCUGGUACGCUGCGCCUGGCCGCCUUAGGGUGAGUGCUGGAGCGCGGUUGCCAUCCUUCUGGAGAACACGUCUGCCUUCAUUGGACCGGAUGUGGAAUCCAGAUCAUUUACUUUGAAAAAAUUAGAGUGUUUAAAGCAGGCUUGC